This 162-nucleotide ribosomal RNA is filed under the name Chaetosphaeriaceae sp. RNAcentral describes it as "partial large subunit ribosomal RNA". It matches the Rfam family "Eukaryotic large subunit ribosomal RNA", at positions 99 to 261 of the family's 3401-position model. The record is from RNAcentral. Lineage: Eukaryota; Fungi; Ascomycota; Sordariomycetes; Chaetosphaeriales; Chaetosphaeriaceae.
CGGCAACAGCUCAAAUUUGAAAUCUGGCCUUCGGGUCCGAGUUGUAAUUUGCAGAGGAUGCUUCCGGCGCGGCGCCUUCCAAGUCCCCUGGAACGGGGCGCCAUAGAGGGUGAGAAUCCCGUAUGUGACUGGGUGCCUUCGCCUAUGUGAAGCUCUUUCGAC